CCUCACCCUCGUAAGACUACCCGCUGAACUUAAGCAUAUCAAUAAGCGGAGGAAAAGAAACCAACAGGGAUUGCCUCAGUAACGGCGAGUGAAGCGGCAAAAGCUCAAAUUUGAAAUCCCCCGGGAAUUGUAAUUUGAAGAGAUUUGGGUCCGGCCGGCGGGGGUUAAGUCCACUGGAAAGUGGCGCCACAGAGGGUGACAGCCCCGUGARCCCCUYYAAMGCCUYYAYCCCAGAUCUCCAAGAGUCGAGUUGUUUGGGAAUGCAGCUCUAAGUGGGUGGUAAAUUCCAUCUAAAGCUAAAUACCGGCGAGAGACCGAUAGCGAACAAGUACAGUGAUGGAAAGAUGAAAAGCACUUUGAAAAGAGAGUGAAAAAGUACGUGAAAUUGUUGAAAGGGAAGGGCUUGCAAGCAGACACUUAACUGGGCCAGCAUCGGGGCGGCGGGGAGCAAAACCRCCGGGGAAUGUACCUUUCGAGGAUUAUAACCCCGGCCCUUACUCCCAUACUGCCCCGAGGCCUGCAAUCUAAGGAUGCUGGCGUAAUGGUUGCAAGUCGCCCG
RNAcentral lists this ribosomal RNA (559 nucleotides) under Metschnikowia aff. pulcherrima P40B006. RNAcentral describes it as "LSU rRNA". It matches the Rfam family "Eukaryotic large subunit ribosomal RNA", at positions 1 to 651 of the family's 3401-position model. Lineage: Eukaryota; Fungi; Ascomycota; Pichiomycetes; Serinales; Metschnikowiaceae. The record is from RNAcentral.